CCCUGGCCUAGCUCAGCUUACAACAUCAAACAACAGCAACAUCAGCAAUAUGACCAACACAAUCCUAAAAAUCCUCUCUUCACGUGAAAUUCAACCAAACACACUUCAAUCACGAAAAGUCCAUCGAAAAUUUUGACUUCUGCAGAGCCCAUAAUCUUUGAAAAGGUAAACUUUGGUGCUCAUUUUCCUUCUUCCUCUUUUUUUUGUUUGAUUUGAAUUUUUAGUUUUGUGAUACUUGAAGAAGUCGUUACAACCCUUUUUCCACUAAAAGGGGAGUCUUCUUCACAAUAAAAGGGUGAAGAGAGAUCAAUUUGUCAGGGGCCUGCUAUUUUUUCCUUUUUUAUUUGAAGUUCGAGUCUUUGAGUUGAAGCCCUAGUUCGUUUCUCCACACAAGGCUUCUCCAGUGUGGGAAAUUGUGACUUCAUCACUUAUUGGAAGGUGCAAUUUGUCCAAGUGUCUUGGAACCAGGCUGGGAACAAGUGUCUAUGGGCAGACACAUGAUGUGUAGCUCCUGAAUCUACAAUCCAACUGUCAGAACAAGCCUCGGUUAAAAAAACAAAUGUUGUGCAGAAUUCACAUCAUGACUGGAACUGGCAGCAUCACCUGGUCCUACUACCAUGCUUACAGAAGACUUUCUACCAGUGCUAAUAUAGUUGUUACCCCUAUUAUGUGGUGAGAAAUUGUUACCACCAGCAUUAUGUGACCUGAAAUUUGGAGGAGUAUAACCUUGUUUUUGUUGCAGUUAUCUUCUUGUAUCCUAGUUUUAGUAGAACUCUAUUUUGUAUUUAUUCUUUUACUUAUCAGUUAGAUAGAUAUAUGUUGUAAUUCCACUUUAUAAAUACAAAAAUAUAGAAUGAGCAAGGCUCACACUUUAACCCUUCACUUUAUCUAUUUCGUCUUGGUAUCAAAGCCUUAAACGAUCCUUUCCAUGGCUUCAGAAAUUUCCUCAUCUCAGACCACCACUACCUCUGCUCAAACUGCCAUAAGUCAAUCUUCUCUUGGCCUUCCAAAUCCCCCUCCAACAGUUUCCAAUAUCAAAGGUUUUGUUCCUAUUGAAUUGACAUACGUCAACUACCUUACUUGGAAGAAAGUUUUUCUCACCGUCCUUAAAAGUCACAAUCUUCUUUCCUUAGUAAAUGGAACCUUACCAUGUCCACCACUAGAACAUGCUGAUUUCAGGCUAUGGAUUCAGUGUCAUCCUAUUGCAUUAAGUUU
Long non-coding RNA from Capsicum annuum, 1215 nucleotides. RefSeq lists it as uncharacterized. Lineage: Eukaryota; Viridiplantae; Streptophyta; Magnoliopsida; Solanales; Solanaceae. The record is from RefSeq and is a predicted model, not a curated record. The transcript has 3 exons.